UCAGAGAUAAAAACGCAACGUGCAUCCGCAAGGAUGUGCCAGAGCCGGUAGGUAGCCCGGCCGUCCUGUCAGUAACAGGGUAAGUAACCUGCCCCUCCGGGUUGUCCGUUCUCUGUCCAUA
This 121-nucleotide non-coding RNA is filed under the name bovine gut metagenome. RNAcentral describes it as "yjdF RNA". It matches the Rfam family "azaaromatic riboswitch aptamer (yjdF RNA)", at positions 6 to 91 of the family's 101-position model. The record is from RNAcentral.